This 419-nucleotide ribosomal RNA is filed under the name uncultured bacterium. RNAcentral describes it as "bacterial SSU rRNA". It matches the Rfam family "Bacterial small subunit ribosomal RNA", at positions 27 to 446 of the family's 1533-position model. The record is from RNAcentral.
GGACGAACGCUGGCGGCGUGCUUAACACAUGCAAGUCGAACGAGGUCCGCUCUUCGGGGUGGGUUCUAGUGGCGAACGGGUGAGUAACACGUGGGCAACCUGCCCCCGGCUCUGGGAUAACUCCAAGAAAUUGGGGCUAAUACCGGAUAUGACCGCUGACCGCAUGGUCUGGUGGUGGGAAAGUUUUUCGGCUGGGGAUGGGCCCGCGGCCUAUCAGCUUGUUGGUGGGGUAACGGCCUACCAAGGCGAUGACGGGAGCUGACGUGAGAGCGUGAUCAGCCACACUGGGACUGAGACACGGCCCAGACUCCUACGGGAGGCAGCAGUGGGGAAUCUUGCGCAAUGGGCGAAAGCCUGAACGCAGCAACGCCGCGUGUGUGAUGAAGGUCUUCGGAUCGUAAAGCACUGUCGCGAGGGAA